RNAcentral lists this ribosomal RNA (430 nucleotides) under uncultured bacterium. Its description in RNAcentral is "partial 16S ribosomal RNA". It matches the Rfam family "Bacterial small subunit ribosomal RNA", at positions 29 to 507 of the family's 1533-position model. The record is from RNAcentral.
AACGAACGCUGGCGGCAGGCCUAACACAUGCAAGUCGAACGCCCCGCAAGGGGAGUGGCAGACGGGUGAGUAACACGUGGGAACCUUCCCUAUAGUACGGAAUAGCCCAGGGAAACUUGGAGUAAUACCGUAUACGCCCGAAAGGGGAAAGAAUUUCGCUAUAGGAUGGGCCCGCGUAGGAUUAGCUAGUUGGUGAGGUAAUGGCUCACCUAGGCGACGAUCCUUAGCUGGUUUGAGAGAACGACCAGCCACACUGGGACUGAGACACGGCCCAGACUCCUACGGGAGGCAGCAGUGGGGAAUAUUGGACAAUGGGCGCAAGCCUGAUCCAGCCAUGCCGCGUGAGUGAUGAAGGCCUUAGGGUUGUAAAGCUCUUUUGGCGGGGACGAUAAUGACGGUACCCGCAGAAUAAGACCCGGCUAACUUCGUG